CUGCUCAAUGAUUUUUUAAAUUGCUGUAGUAUUUUGACUAUACAAAGGUAUUGUAAUAAGGCUUUAAUUGAGUGCUAAGAGAAUGGACUUUCAAGAAAUCUCUUUUUUCAAAUGAAAAAUAGAAAUUAUUUUUAUUUGUGAAGAAACAAUAAUUGAAAUUUAAGACAAGAAGACCCUAUGAAUUUUAAUCGAUUUAUUAAAUUUAAGUAAAUUAAAAGCCAUUUAAUUGGGGCGAUUAAAUAAUAUUAGUAACUUUUAUAAAUUAAAGUUGAUCCAUUAAUAAUGAUAACAUGAAAUAAAUACUCUAGGGAUAACAGCGUAAUAAUUUUAGAUAGCUCUUAUAGAAAAAAUAGUUUGCGACCUCGAUGUUGGAUUAGGAUACUUAUUUAAUGAAGAAGUUAAAAAAAGAAGUUUGUUCAACUUUUAAAAUCCUACUUGAUCUGAGUUCAGACCGG
Molecule: ribosomal RNA, 455 nt
Filed under: Haemaphysalis montgomeryi
Lineage: Eukaryota; Metazoa; Arthropoda; Arachnida; Ixodida; Ixodidae
Description: partial 16S ribosomal RNA
Rfam family: Bacterial large subunit ribosomal RNA (bases 310-455)
Source: RNAcentral